UGAGGAAUAUUGGUCAAUGGGCGAGAGCCUGAACCAGCCAAGUCGCGUGAGGGAAGACGGUCCUACGGAUUGUAAACCUCUUUUGUCGGGGAGCAAUAAGGCGUACGAGUACGCAGAUGCGAGUACCCGAAGAAAAGCAUCGGCUAACUCCGUGCCGGCAGCCGCGGUAAUACGGAGGAUGCGAGCGUUAUCCGGAUUUAUUGGGUUUAAAGGGUGCGCAGGCGGAAAGUGCAAGUCAGCGGUCAAACGACGGGGCUCAAACCCCGUCCUCGCCGUUGCAAAAUCUGUCAUUUCUUAGAGUGAGCGAGAAGUAUGCGGAAUGCGUGGUGUAGCGGUGAAAUGCAUAGAUAUCACGCAGAACUCCGAUUGCGAAGGCAGCAUACCGGCGCUCAACUGACGCUCAUGCACGAAAAGCGUGGGUAUCGAACAGGAUUAGAUACC
This 441-nucleotide ribosomal RNA is filed under the name uncultured bacterium. RNAcentral's name for it is "bacterial SSU rRNA". It matches the Rfam family "Bacterial small subunit ribosomal RNA", at positions 355 to 786 of the family's 1533-position model. The record is from RNAcentral.